RNAcentral lists this ribosomal RNA (953 nucleotides) under uncultured bacterium. RNAcentral describes it as "bacterial SSU rRNA". It matches the Rfam family "Bacterial small subunit ribosomal RNA", at positions 432 to 1378 of the family's 1533-position model. The record is from RNAcentral.
UCACAAGAAUGGGAGAAUAAGUCCUGGCUACAUCCAGGACGAUGACGGUACCAUUGUAAGCUCCGGCUAACUCCGUGCCAGCAGCCGCGGUAAUACGGGGGGAGCAAGCGUUGUUCGGAUUUACUGGGCGUAAAGGGCGCGUAGGCGGCGCGACAAGUCACUUGUGAAAUCUCCGGGCUCAACUCGGAACGGCCAAGUGAUACUGUCGUGCUAGAGUGCGGAAGGGGCAACUGGAAUUCUCGGUGUAGCGGUGAAAUGCGUAGAUAUCGAGAGGAACACCUGCGGCGAAGGCGGGUUGCUGGGCCGACACUGACGCUGAGGCGCGAAAGCUAGGGGAGCGAACGGGAUUAGAUACCCCGGUAGUCCUAGCCUUAAACGAUGAAUGCUUGGUGUCCGGGGUUAGAUAGUCCCCGGGUGCCGUCGCUAACGCUAUAAGCAUUCCGCCUGGGGAGUACGGUCGCAAGACUGAAACUCAAAGGAAUUGACGGGGACCCGCACAAGCGGUGGAGCAUGUGGUUUAAUUCGACGCAACGCGAAGAACCUUACCUGGGCUAGAAUGCCUCUGACAUCCCUAGAGAUAGGGCUUCCUAGGGAAACCUAGGCAGAGUGCAAGGUGCUGCAUGGCUGUCGUCAGCUCGUGUCGUGAGAUGUUGGGUUAAGUCCCGCAACGAGCGCAACCCUUGUCAAUAGUUGCCAGCGGUUCGGCCGGGCACUCUAUUGAAACUGCCGUUGAUAAAACGGAGGAAGGUGGGGAUGACGUCAAGUCCUCAUGGCCUUUAUGUCCAGGGCUACACACGUGCUACAAUGGCAAGUACAAAGCGCUGCAAAAGAGUAAUCUGGAGCCAAUCGCAAAAAGCUUGUCUCAGUUCGGAUUGGAGUCUGCAACUCGACUCCAUGAAGUUGGAAUCGCUAGUAAUCGCAGAUCAGCACGCCGCGGUGAAUACGUUCCCGGG